Molecule: ribosomal RNA, 504 nt
Filed under: uncultured bacterium
Lineage: Bacteria
Description: partial 16S ribosomal RNA
Rfam family: Bacterial small subunit ribosomal RNA
Source: RNAcentral
AUUGAACGCUGGCGGCAGGCCUAACACAUGCAAGUCGAACGGUAGCACAGAGAGCUUGCUCUCGGGUGACGAGUGGCGGACGGGUGAGUAACGUCUGGGAAACUGCCCGAUGGAGGGGGAUAACUACUGGAAACGGUAGCUAAUACCGCAUAACGUCGCAAGACCAAAGUGGGGGACCAUCGGGCCUCACACCAUCGGAUGUGCCCAGAUGGGAUUAGCUAGUAGGUGGGGUAAUGGCUCACCUAGGCGACGAUCCCUAGCUGGUCUGAGAGGAUGACCGGCCACACUGGAACUGAGACACGGUCCAGACUCAUACGGGAGGCAGCAGUGGGGAAUAUUGCACAAUGGGCGCAAGCCUGAUGCAGCCAUGCCGCGUGUAUGAAGAAGGCCUUCGGGUUGUAAAGUACUUUCAGCGGGGAGGAAGGCGGUGAAGUUAAUAGCUUCACCGAUUGACGUUACCCGCAGAAGAAGCACCGGCUAACUCCGUGCCAGCCGCCGCGGUAA